GGGUCUAGGGCCAGAAGUAUAUAAGCCCAGGUCUGAACAAACUGGAGAGGAAGAGAUUGAUUCCAGCAAGCUUCAAGCAGAACUGCAGCUGCUCUACAAGGGAGAGCAUCCAGCAGUAGAGACUGAAAUGGGGAGCCUAUGAAAAGAAAGCAAGCAAAUAUUCUGUUAGCAUGGUGAAAGUGUGAUCAACAAACUGCUGAGGGUCAUCAGGGCAGAAAAGAAGAAAGCACCUCAUUUACCCUUGAAUUAGCAAUGUUUGUUACCUUCCUCCCGUCGGGAAGGCCCAGACUGCAGCUGCACUGCCACACACUGACCUUUCCGGUGAAAUACGUUUGACCUGAAAAAAAUUAGAAGAAAAAAAAGCCCAAGAAUCUUAACCCUGUGAAGAAACACAAUGAAAUUCAGUGAUACAUGACAGUCCUGCUGUUAAUUCACAAGGAAGCAUGUCUGCCUAAGCGUACAAAGACAGUGGUUGUAUGUUAUAAAUAAAAGGCUGUUAAUUUGUACAUCUGGAGAGCAUUAACCUACUGCAAGCACUUCCAGAGCAGUCUUGAAGAGACAAAGGUUUUGUAAUUAUACUUUUUGAAAUGUAUUUUAUUGAGAAAUUUGAAUGGGAUUCUGUUCUGGAAAUGUCUUGACUUAGAAUACUUUAAACCAAGAUUAAAACAAAAGAAAAGAAAAAGAAAAAAGAAACUCUGUUAAACAAAAUAUCCUUAAUUUUGGGGAACGUUAUCCCUUGGUGACUGAAAUCCUCCAUCGACUAAGGAACAGGCAUAACAGCAGUAUAAAUAUUACCAUGGCAUUUCUGUCAACUUGCCUUAGUCCUUGUUUGGAGAGACUGGGGCAGCAGGAUAGAGUUCCUUCUC
This is a long non-coding RNA of Alligator sinensis (Chinese alligator), 866 nucleotides long. RefSeq lists it as uncharacterized. The record is from RefSeq and is a predicted model, not a curated record. The transcript is spliced from 3 exons. NCBI's taxonomy places the organism in Eukaryota, Metazoa, Chordata, Crocodylia, Alligatoridae.